This 415-nucleotide unclassified non-coding RNA is filed under the name Hevea brasiliensis (rubber tree). The record is from RNAcentral. Lineage: Eukaryota; Viridiplantae; Streptophyta; Magnoliopsida; Malpighiales; Euphorbiaceae.
AAACUUUUGAAUUUUCCAAGUGUAGGUAUUGCUAUUAGCAAGCUCCUUCACAAUAGAUACGCAUUCACCUUUGGUAGUACGUUCUAUAACAAAAAUCUCAGCACCAAAUAUGCAACAAUCAUCAACAAGAUAUCCAUUUGAGGCAUCAUUAAAAGCAUUGAGAGAAACUAAUUUGUCAAAACCCCAUUCUGUUUUCGCUCCACGAAAACGCCUUACCUUGUCCUUUGCAUCUUGAACAACCAAAUACUUAUCCUGAAUUUGAUUAUAAACAAACAACUUGAAGUACACAUUAACCUCUUUAUGCAAGGGGAAUGCAUUUGAUUCAGCUAGUACUAAAUACAGAGAAACAUGUUCAUUCUUGUCAUUUACUUUCUUGUUUCCUUUAGGGUAAAGAGACAACCUCCAUUUGUAUCCA